This 498-nucleotide ribosomal RNA is filed under the name uncultured bacterium. RNAcentral describes it as "partial 16S ribosomal RNA". It matches the Rfam family "Bacterial small subunit ribosomal RNA", at positions 30 to 523 of the family's 1533-position model. The record is from RNAcentral.
AUUGAACGCUGGCGGCAUGCCUUACACAUGCAAGUCGAACGGUAACAGGUCUUCGGAUGCUGACGAGUGGCGAACGGGUGAGUAAUACAUCGGAACGUGCCUAGUAGUGGGGGAUAACUACUCGAAAGAGUGGCUAAUACCGCAUGAGAUCUACGGAUGAAAGCAGGGGAUCGCAAGACCUUGUGCUACUAGAGCGGCCGAUGGCAGAUUAGGUAGUUGGUGGGAUAAAAGCUUACCAAGCCGACGAUCUGUAGCUGGUCUGAGAGGACGAUCAGCCACGCUGGAACUGAGACACGGCCCAGACUCCUACGGGAGGCAGCAGUGGGGAAUUUUGGACAAUGGGGGCAAGCCUGAUCCAGCAAUGCCGCGUGCAGGAUGAAGGCCUUCGGGUUGUAAACUGCUUUUGUACGGAACGAAAAGCCCUGGGUUAAUACCCUGGGGUCAUGACGGUACCGUAAGAAUAAGCACCGGCUAACUACGUGCCAGCCGCCGCAGUAA